This 481-nucleotide ribosomal RNA is filed under the name uncultured bacterium. RNAcentral describes it as "partial 16S ribosomal RNA". It matches the Rfam family "Bacterial small subunit ribosomal RNA", at positions 28 to 507 of the family's 1533-position model. The record is from RNAcentral.
GACGAACGUUGGCGGCGUGCUUAAUACACGCAAGUCAACUGAAGCAGUGGUAGCAAUAUCGCUGUGGAGGUGGCGCACGGGUGAGUAACACGUAGGUAAUCUGCCUUCAGGUCUGGCAUAACUCCGGGAAACCGGGGCUAAUAGCAGAUGAUGCAGCGGCUCGACAUCGAGACAGUUGUUAAAGCUAUGGCGCCUGAAGAUGAGCCUGCGUCUGAUUAGCUAGUUGGCGGGGUAACGGCCCACCAAGGCAACGAUCAGUAGCUGGUCUGAGAGGAUGAUCAGCAACAAUGGAACUGAGACGCGGUCCAGACUCCUACGGGGGGCAGCAGUAAGGAAUAUUGCUCAAUGGGAGAAAUCCUGAAGCAGCGACGCCGCGUAAGGGACGAAGGGCUUUUGCUUGUAAACCUCUGUAGUAAGAGAAAAAAAUCCCAAUCUUUGGGACAUGAUGGUAUCUCAAAAGUAAGCCCCGGCUAACUACGUG